RNAcentral lists this long non-coding RNA (1019 nucleotides) under Lupinus angustifolius (narrow-leaved blue lupine). RNAcentral's name for it is "long non-coding RNA (LANG_LNC000913)". The record is from RNAcentral. Lineage: Eukaryota; Viridiplantae; Streptophyta; Magnoliopsida; Fabales; Fabaceae.
UAAAUAUCUUUUCUUGAGCUUACCUUGCCCGCUUAUUUAUUUCUUUCCUUCUAUAUUUCUAAAUAUAUUAUUUCUUUCCCUAAUUAACUCCUCUCGGAGACCCCAACAGCGACAUCGCCGCUGUCGCUUCCCACAGCCAACAUCGCCGCCAUCCUGUCCCCCUCUCGCGUCUGCCGUUUCCUUCCUCCCUGUUUCGUCUCUCUCUCUCUCUCUCAGACUUUGACCCACCUUGCUCUCAGAUUCUCACCCACCAUUGUAGGUUAGAUUCUCUCUAUGCCAUUCUUUAAAAUUUUCAUCCUUCACAAAAAUGGCAAAAAAAAAAAAAAACAAAUAUAAAUGUCAUAAAGUUAAGUUUAUAAUUUAUGGAUACUUCUAUAUCUAUAUUAUCCAUAAAGUCAACAUAAAAAGAAUAACAACAAUGUUCUCCUAAAUAUCUUUUCUUGAGCUUACCUUGCCCGCUUAUUUAUUUCUUUCCUUCUAUAUUUCUAAAUAUAUUAUUUCUUUCCCUAAUUAACUCCUCUCGGAGACCCCAACAGCGACAUCGCCGCUGUCGCUUCCCACAGCCAACAUCGCCGCCAUCCUGUCCCCCUCUCGCGUCUGCCGUUUCCUUCCUCCCUGUUUCGUCUCUCUCUCUCUCUCUCAGACUUUGACCCACCUUGCUCUCAGAUUCUCACCCACCAUUGUAGGUUAGAUUCUCUCUAUGCCAUUCUUUAAAAUUUUCAUCCUUCACAAACUUUUUAUUGGGAUAUAGUUAUUAAUGAGUGUGUUCAAAAGAGUUUUUGUAGUAUUAUUGGAAAAUAUGACAGUAGUAUAAUUGGAGGUUGUCCUUUUGUUUUUUCCGAGGUAGAUUUGUUUAAUGCUUUAAGAAGAACUCAAGAACCCUCCCAAGAAGGUGGCUACAUAAAGCAUUGACUAAUUUAUGCUCUUAAUUGUGAUGAUUGGUUGUGCAGGUAAUAAAGCUAGCAGCCGCAUUUUUCUAUUGCUAAGGUUAUUUGUUUCAAAUUGUAAUCUGUUUUGAU